UCCGGUUUAUCACCGGCAGUCCCAACAGAGUCCUCAGCUCUACCUGUUAGCAACAGUUGGCAAGGGUUGCGCUCGUUGCGGGACUUAACCCAACAUCUCACGACACGAGCUGACGACAGCCAUGCAGCACCUGUGCACGUGCCCCGAAGGGGGCCCUAGGUUUCCCUAGGGUUUCACGUGCAUGUCAAGCCCAGGUAAGGUUCUUCGCGUUGCUUCGAAUUAAACCACAUGCUCCGCUGCUUGUGCGGGCCCCCGUCAAUUCUUUUGAGUUUUAGCCUUGCGGCCGUACUCCCCAGGCGGAACACUUAACGCGUUGGCUGGCACAGAGGGAUUCGACUCCCCCCACACCUAGUGUUCAUCGUUUACGGCUAGGACUAC
Molecule: unclassified non-coding RNA, 378 nt
Filed under: uncultured bacterium
Lineage: Bacteria
Description: contains 16S-23S intergenic spacer region
Source: RNAcentral